AUCCAAAAAGCUUUUUGCAGAGUGAAGAGGUAUUCUUUUUGCGCACAAUUGGAGUUUCUUGUGAAAUAUUUGUGUCGAAAUGUAGAAUUACUUGUGAUUUGUGCUGAUUUUUCAAUCUUUAGUAUUUGAUAUAAUCUCUUUUACAUUUCCUCUACAAUAUGACUCAAGGAACAUGAAGAUCAGUUAAUAACGGUGUAUCAUUUAUAAAUCGCUUACAUGCCGCCAAAUCAGAUGAGUGUCAGGCAUGUGCAC
RNAcentral lists this unclassified non-coding RNA (252 nucleotides) under Hevea brasiliensis (rubber tree). Lineage: Eukaryota; Viridiplantae; Streptophyta; Magnoliopsida; Malpighiales; Euphorbiaceae. The record is from RNAcentral.